GACGAACGCUGGCGGCGUGCUUAACACAUGCAAGUCGAACGGAAAGGCCCUUUCGGGGGUACUCGAGUGGCGAACGGGUGAGUAACACGUGGGUGAUCUGCCCUGCACUUUGGGAUAAGCUUGGGAAACUGGGUCUAAUACCGAAUACACCCUGCUGGUCGCAUGGCCUGGUGGGGGAAAGCUUUUGCGGUGUGGGAUGGGCCCGCGGCCUAUCAGCUUGUUGGUGGGGUGAUGGCCUACCAAGGCGACGACGGGUAGCCGGCCGUGAGAGGGUGUCCGGCCACACUGGGACUGAGAUACGGCCCAGACUCCUACGGGAGGCAGCAGUGGGGAAUAUUGCACAAUGGGCGCAAGCCUGAUGCAGCGACGCCGCGUGGGGAUGACGG
Molecule: ribosomal RNA, 386 nt
Filed under: uncultured bacterium
Lineage: Bacteria
Description: bacterial SSU rRNA
Rfam family: Bacterial small subunit ribosomal RNA
Source: RNAcentral